GAUGAACGCUGGCGGCGUGCCUAAUACAUGCAAGUCGAGCGAACAGACGAGGAGCUUGCUCCUCUGACGUUAGCGGCGGACGGGUGAGUAACACGUGGAUAACCUACCUAUAAGACGGGGAUAACUUCGGGAAACCGGAGCUAAUACCGGAUAACAUGUUGAACCGUAUGGUUUAACAGUGAAAGACGGUCUUGCUGUCACUUAUCGAUGGAUCCGCGCCGCAUUAGCUAGUUGGUAAGGUAACGGCUUACCAAGGCAACGAUGCGUAGCCGACCUGAGAGGGUGAUCGGCCACACUGGAACUGAGACACGGUCCAGACUCCUACGGGAGGCAGCAGUAGGGAAUCUUCCGCAAUGGGCGAAAGCCUGACGGAGCGACGCCGCGUGAGUGAAGAAGGUCUUCGGAUCGUAAAACUCUGUUAUUAGGGAAGAACAAAUGUGUAAGUAACUAUGCACGUCUUGACGGUACCUAAUCAGAAAGCCACGGCUAACUACGUG
Molecule: ribosomal RNA, 497 nt
Filed under: uncultured bacterium
Lineage: Bacteria
Description: partial 16S ribosomal RNA
Rfam family: Bacterial small subunit ribosomal RNA
Source: RNAcentral